UAAACUGUCAGCAUUUCAUUAAAAACAAACCUCUGGAUAUAACAGGGUGACUACUCACCGUACCCGAAAGCACAGAGAACGCCGUAUGGUUGCAAGAAUGUCCCCAGGGAGCUCCAGAGCGAAGCCUCUUCAUGGAUCGAUUCACCUUUCCGGCGUCAGCGAAAGCUCGUCAGAGAGAAUCUUAAGUUUCUCCGAGCACUGCAGCCUCUUGGGAAGUGGGGGCAACCCUCUCCUUUCUACCAGUGCUCUCUGCGGCCGCCUGCCCGUCUGCCUGUCACCCUCACUUGAGAGCAUCUGUGUCCAGGGCUCCUCCCGACCUCGUCACUGUUCCUGCUCUCCACAAUUCCGUGAUGCCUGUAGGAAGUACAGCCUGUCCUCUGUCACCGUGCUCUGCCGGAACUGUCCUCCAGCACUGGGGACGCAGGAAAGCGGGGAGCACCCAGAAGACCCUCUGAGAUGCCGUGGAGCACGCAAUCGUCCUGACUGGCAGGUAACUCCCAUGCCUCCAGUAAAGGUGAGGGUGUACUUGGAGAUGGAUGCCUCCCCUCUGAUGUGUGAUCAAAGCUCUGGGCCCAGGGAUUGCAGGGUGCAAUUCUUUUUCUCUCUUCGGAGUUUAAAUGACCCCUGUAAACAUGAGACUAUGGACUAUGAGAAACAAACUGAGGGCCUCAGAGGGGAGGGGGUGGGGGAAUGGGAUAGCCCGGUGAUGGGUAGUAAGGAGGGCACGUAUUGCACGGUGCACUGGGUGUUAUACGCAACUAAUGAAUCAUCGAACUUUACAUCGGAAACCGGGGAUGUACUGUAUGGUGACUAACAUAAUAUAAUAAAAAAUCAUUAAAAAAAUAAAAAUAAAAAUAA
This 858-nucleotide long non-coding RNA is filed under the name Ursus maritimus (polar bear). RNAcentral describes it as "lncRNA (ENSUMAG00000007289.1)". The record is from RNAcentral. Lineage: Eukaryota; Metazoa; Chordata; Mammalia; Carnivora; Ursidae.